Molecule: long non-coding RNA, 9001 nt
Organism: Cucumis sativus (cucumber)
Lineage: Eukaryota; Viridiplantae; Streptophyta; Magnoliopsida; Cucurbitales; Cucurbitaceae
Exons: 6
Source: RefSeq, a predicted model, not a curated record
CUUUAAUUCGCGGUUGAAAGCGCAGCCGUUGGGACUUGGGUACGUUUCCCUCCACCAAAUAGCAAUCUAUUAGAGUGGAAUAUGGAACUUUUUCGCUUGAAGACUUCAAUUUGGUUACGUACAAAAGAAGAGUGAGAACUCCGUCUCAAUUCAUCGCCGUAAAAUUUUACUUGUUCCGACGGUGUGGUCUUCGUAUAGGAAUCAAUCGCCAACGAGAUAAGUGUUCAGGUGUUGAGAAUCAAUCAUGUAAUUAUACUGUGGUUGGGAGGUUCGAAUUUCUAGUUUAGAGCCUCGAAAACCUAGUGCUAGUUGUAUGGCACAUAUUCUUGUUAUCUUUUUUGUACCAAAGUCUCGUUAGCCUAGCAAUGCUUGCAGAUUUGUUUCCUAUAAAAUGACAUGAAUCAUUAGCGAAGUAUGCUACGUAAUGCUUAUAUGCACUUGCGGAUGUAAGACCAGGUAAUUUCUUGGGAUAUGACAGACUUUCACUCUACGAAGCUGACGUACGCUGAUUGGUCGAAGACUGUCUUUGAGUAAUUUCAGAUUGUCAUGUUUUGAAGAUACGUUAAUUUCACGCGAGCCAACAAUUAGUCCAAAAAGGAGAGCUCCAAAGUCCUGAAAAAAUGUUGUUGGAUUUCCUGCUUUGCAGAUUGCUGUUGCAGUUUACCAGAAAUUUGAGUGUCACCAAGGAAGGGAAUGUCUUGCCAAAGAGCUAGUUGGAUAUAUAUAUAUUUUGCCAAUACUUUGUUCUUCUUACGGUUCCUCCUAUCCUCUUCAUUUUAUGAUCAUUUGGGGAUGGAACUCUUUUAUUAUUAUUAGCAUUACUAUUGUAUUAUUCUUUCCAUUCUUUGUCUUCUGAUCACUAACGGAUUUGUUUUCUAUCAAAUAUAGGUUAAAGAUUUAAUUAUCCUCUCCACUCUUUUCAUAUGUGAAGAAAUUUAUCCUGGUUCACAUUGUUUGUAUUCCAAUCCAAAAAUAGCAACAGAAAACCACAUGGUAUCUUGGAGGUGCUAAGUUUCGAGAAACAGGAUUGAUUAUCUGCAAACAAGUAUUCCUUCCUGAUGGGAUCUUCAAUAUAUGGCGCCAUUGAAGAGGAAUACUAAAUACUUCUCAGACUACAGCAACAGGCUAUAAAUCACGAAAAUCCAAUGUUGACUUUAAAUAGGACAUGAAUCUUGAGUAUCCUGGUCAGCACAUGGAGUACAGACUCAAUGAAAAAGGUUUUGGUUCCGUAACUGAAGUUCAGUUUAGGUAAGGUUAGUUAUGGUGUUACAUUUAUGUAGUUAGGUGUGUGUCUUUUUGGAUCGUGGUGUUUAAAUAUUAACCUUUUAAUAUUUCAUCUCUCUCGUUGUGGUUGGUUCUGGAGAUAUGGGAGUUAAGAUUCUAGAAGCAGAACAAUCUGAGAAAGGGUUUGCUUGGAGGCAGAGCUGUGCUCUCCAGUUGAAGAUCAAAUAAGCUAGGACAUGAUUUGCAUCAAAAGAGGAGGAAGAAGUAUCUCUUAAAGGGCAACCAUUUUUUUCUCUCCAAAUUACUUGUCAAAGGAAAUAUUUAAACGAUGGUGAACCGUGUAAUCUUUUUGGUACCAUCAACAUGUUAUUAAUACAAAAGCAAGGAUGCCCAAUACAAUAUUAGAGAUUUUUUUCUUUUUUAUAUUCACGAAUGUCUGAGUCAGCUUAUAUCAUUCAAACUAAUCUCUUAAAACAAUCAUCUUUCACAUAUUAAGUCCAAUAGGUCUGUUAGACAUUUUUAUCUUUUUUCUGAUUUUAGAUAAGUGAAAUUCACAGUUUUAAAAUUAAGACGUUUGAGGACCAGUUCUCUUCUCUUUUGAUUUCCUCCAUAUAAUUAAAUGCUAAUUAAGAAACUACCAGCAAGAUGGAGACGACUUGCAAACAUGCGGUCAAUGUGCUUAGCAACACAAUGUUUUUCCUAGAAAUGUAGAUUACUUAAUCAGUUGGAUAACUGAUAAAUCCCCAUUAUCAAUCCUCAUUGUCAAAGUUUAUUUUCAUCAAAUCAAGCUUCAUCACCGUUUCUUUUCUUCAAAAUCCAUCCCCUUCUGUUGUACAGAUAGCCAUUCCGAUGAGGAAUAUAUUAUUUUCAUGGCUUUUUUUAAUACCCAUGUGGUCGAUGUUACUUCCACUAGACAAUAACGUGGUCUUUGGGCGAUGCCUUGAGGAUCAGCAGUCUCUCUUGCUGGAAUUGAAGAAUAAUCUUGUAUACGAUUCUUCCUUGUCCAAGAAACUGGUGCACUGGAAUGAAAGUGUCGAUUACUGUAAUUGGAAUGGUGUUAACUGCAACGACGGCUGUGUUAUCGGUCUUGAUUUGAGCAAGGAGUCGAUUUUCGGUGGGAUUGAUAAUUCAAGCAGUCUUUUCAGUCUUCGGUUCUUACGGACUUUGAACUUGGGUUUCAACAGUUUUAAUUCCUCGAUGCCUUCUGGAUUUAACAGGCUUUCGAAUUUAAGUUUGCUGAAUAUGUCUAAUUCUGGAUUUGAUGGCCAGAUUCCUAUUGAGAUUUCAAACUUAACUGGGUUGGUUAGCCUCGACCUUUCUACCUCGUUUCUCUUUCAAGUUUCGACACUGAAGCUUGAGAACCCAAAUUUGAUGACUUUUGUUCAGAAUUUGAGCAAUUUGAGAGUGCUAAUUUUGGAUGGUGUAGAUUUAUCAGCACAAGGAAGGGAAUGGUGCAAGGCCUUCUCAUCAUCUCCACUGCUUAAUCUAAGAGUGUUGAGUUUAUCGAGAUGUUCUCUUAAUGGACCUCUCGAUCCUUCCCUUGUGAAGCUUCCAUCUCUAUCAGUGAUUCGUCUAGAUAUUAACAUAUUCUCCUCACGAGUUCCUGAAGAGUUUGCAGAGUUCUUAAAUCUGACUGUCCUGCAGCUUGGCACUACGAGAUUACUUGGAGUUUUUCCACAAAGCAUAUUCAAGGUGCCAAAUCUUCAUACUAUCGACCUAUCCAAUAAUGACCUGCUGCAAGGUUCGCUUCCAGAUUUCCAGUUUAACGGAGCCUUUCAAACUCUAGUGCUCCAAGGCACAAAAUUUUCAGGGACACUGCCAGAAUCUAUCGGAUAUUUUGAGAACUUGACCAGAUUAGACUUGGCGAGUUGCAACUUUGUCGGAUCAAUCCCAAAUUCUAUCCUAAACCUUACACAACUCACAUAUUUGGAUCUUUCGAGCAACAAAUUUGUUGGUCCAGUCCCAUCAUUUUCCCAAUUGAAGAAUCUUACGGUCUUAAACCUUGCUCAUAAUCGGUUGAAUGGUUCCUUGCUUUCCACAAAAUGGGAAGAGCUUCCCAAUCUCGUUAAUCUUGAUUUGCGUAACAAUUCCAUCACUGGAAAUGUUCCUUCGUCUCUCUUCAAUCUUCAAACAAUCCGGAAGAUUCAAUUGAACUACAAUCUAUUUAGUGGUAGUUUAAAUGAGCUCUCCAACGUGUCCUCUUUCUUACUUGAUACCCUUGAUUUGGAGAGCAAUCGGUUAGAAGGGCCAUUCCCAAUGUCGUUUUUGGAACUUCAAGGUCUGAAGAUUCUCUCACUUUCUUUCAACAAUUUUACCGGAAGAUUGAAUCUAACCGUAUUCAAGCAGCUUAAGAAUAUUACAAGACUUGAACUCUCAAGCAACAGCCUGUCUGUUGAAACGGAAAGCACUGACUCAAGUUCUUUUCCUCAAAUGACCACAUUGAAGUUGGCUUCCUGCAAUUUAAGAAUGUUUCCUGGCUUCUUGAAAAAUCAAUCUAAGCUCAACACUCUUGAUCUCUCCCAUAAUGAUCUUCAAGGAGAAAUACCUCUCUGGAUUUGGGGUCUUGAAAAUCUUGAUCAGUUAAAUCUUUCUUGCAACUCUCUUGUUGGUUUUGAAGGGCCUCCAAAGAAUCUUUCUUCCAGUCUCUAUCUUCUUGACCUUCAUUCCAACAAAUUUGAAGGGCCACUCUCAUUCUUUCCUUCAUCUGCUGCCUAUUUGGACUUCUCCAACAACAGUUUCAGUUCUGCCAUUAUACCUGCUAUUGGACAAUACCUCUCAUCCACUGUCUUCUUUUCUCUAUCAAGAAAUCGCAUUCAAGGCAAUAUUCCUGAAUCCAUAUGCGAUUCUAAGAGUCUUCAGGUACUGGAUUUGUCUAAUAAUGAUUUGAGUGGCAUGUUUCCCCAGUGUCUAACUGAGAAGAAUGAUAAUCUUGUGGUACUAAAUCUAAGAGAAAACGCCUUAAAUGGCUCUAUUCCUAAUGCAUUUCCAGCUAACUGCGGUCUGAGGACUCUUGAUCUAAGUGGAAACAACAUCGAAGGGCGGGUACCAAAGUCUUUAUCAAAUUGUCGAUAUUUGGAGGUUUUGGAUCUUGGAAAGAAUUCCAUAGAUGAUAUCUUCCCAUGCUCAUUGAAGAGCAUAUCCACUUUACGUGUGCUUGUUCUUCACUCAAACAAAUUUCAUGGUAAAUUUGGAUGUCAAGAGAGGAAUGGCACUUGGAAGAGCCUGCAAAUUGUUGACAUAUCUCGAAACUACUUUAAUGGUAGGAUAUCUGGAAAAUUCGUAGAAAAGUGGAAAGCAAUGGUGGGUGAGGAAGACUUUAGCAAGUCAAGAGCUAAUCACCUUCGUUUUAAUUUCUUCAAAUUCAGUGCUGUGAACUAUCAAGACACGGUAACUAUUACAAGCAAAGGUCUGGACGUUGAACUGACAAAAAUUCUAACAGUCUUCACUUCCAUUGACUUCUCAUGCAAUCUCUUCAAUGGCCAUAUACCUGCAGAAAUCGGAGAACUCAAGGCGCUUUAUCUUCUCAACUUGUCCCACAAUUCCCUGUCCGGCGAAAUUCCCUCAUCUAUAGGAAAUUUGAGUCAGCUGGGUUCUUUAGAUCUUUCAAGUAACAUGCUUUCUGGCCAAAUCCCUCUACAGCUCGCGGGACUAUCGUUUCUAUCUGUGUUGAAUCUGUCCUACAAUCUGUUGGUUGGUAUGAUUCCCAUUGGCUCCCAAUUCCAAACAUUUUCUGAAGAUUCCUUUAUUGGUAAUGAAGGAUUAUGUGGAUACCCUUUGCCAAAUAAAUGUGGAAUUGCAAUUCAACCAUCAUCUUCAGAUACAAUGGAAUCUUCAGAAAACGAAUUUGAAUGGAAAUACAUAAUAAUUACACUUGGAUUCAUAUCAGGAGCUAUCACGGGCGUAAUCGCGGGUGUUUUCUUAUGGGAGAAAAAAUCGAAAGCAUGGAUGAGAUGGGCCUCAGCUUUAGCUUUGGCUUUAAAAUGUCAUAAUAAUACCAACAAAAGAAGGUCCGUCCCGAUGAGAAAUCUUUUCUUUUCAUGCAUUUCUUUGAUUUUCAACUGCUUUCUUUUCCUUAGCGUAGGGAUUUCUUUGGUUUCUGGACGAUGCCCUGACGAUCAGCAUUCUCUGUUGCUUCAAUUGAAGAAUGAUCUCGUGUACAAUUCUUCCUUUUCCAAGAAACUGGUUCACUGGAAUGAAAGGGUCGAUUACUGUAAUUGGAAUGGUGUUAACUGCACCGACGGCUGUGUUACCGAUCUUGAUUUGAGCGAGGAGUUGAUUUUAGGUGGGAUUGAUAAUUCAAGCAGUCUUUUCAGUCUUCGGUUCUUACGGACUUUGAACUUGGGUUUCAACAGGUUUAAUUCCCUGAUGCCUUCUGGAUUUAACAGGCUUUCGAAUUUAAGUGUGUUGAAUAUGUCUAAUUCUGGAUUUAAUGGCCAGAUUCCUAUUGAGAUUUCAAACUUAACUGGCUUGGUUAGCCUCGAUCUUACUAGCUCGCCUCUCUUUCAAUUUCCUACACUGAAGCUUGAGAACCCAAAUUUGAGGACUUUUGUUCAGAAUUUGAGCAAUUUGGGAGAACUAAUUUUGAAUGGUGUAGACUUAUCGGCACAAGGAAGGGAAUGGUGCAAGGCCUUAUCGUCUUCAUUGUUAAAUCUGACAGUGCUGAGCUUAUCUGGCUGUGCUCUUUCAGGACCUCUUGAUUCUUCCCUUGCGAAACUUCGGUAUCUAUCAGAUAUUCGUCUGGAUAAUAACAUUUUUUCCUCACCGGUUCCUGAUAAUUAUGCGGAUUUCCCAACUUUGACUUCGCUGCAUCUUGGUAGUUCAAAUUUAUCUGGAGAAUUUCCACAAAGUAUUUUCCAGGUAUCAACUCUUCAGACUCUGGACUUAUCCAAUAAUAAGUUGCUGCAAGGUUCUCUUCCAGAUUUUCCAUCCAGUAGACCCCUUCAAACUCUAGUGCUCCAAGGCACAAAAUUUUCAGGGACACUGCCAGAAUCUAUCGGAUAUUUUGAGAACUUGACCAAAUUAGACUUGGCGAGUUGCAACUUUGGCGGAUCAAUCCCAAAUUCUAUCCUAAACCUUACACAACUCACAUAUUUGGAUCUUUCGAGCAACAAAUUUGUUGGUCCAGUCCCAUCAUUUUCCCAAUUGAAGAAUCUUACGGUCUUAAACCUUGCUCAUAAUCGGUUGAAUGGUUCCUUGCUUUCCACAAAAUGGGAAGAGCUUCCCAAUCUCGUUAAUCUUGAUUUGCGUAACAAUUCCAUCACUGGAAAUGUUCCUUCGUCUCUCUUCAAUCUUCAAACAAUCCGGAAGAUUCAAUUGAACUACAAUCUAUUUAGUGGUAGUUUAAAUGAGCUCUCCAACGUGUCCUCUUUCUUACUUGAUACCCUUGAUUUGGAGAGCAAUCGGUUAGAAGGGCCAUUCCCAAUGUCGUUUUUGGAACUUCAAGGUCUGAAGAUUCUCUCACUUUCUUUCAACAAUUUUACCGGAAGAUUGAAUCUAACCGUAUUCAAGCAGCUUAAGAAUAUUACAAGACUUGAACUCUCAAGCAACAGCCUGUCUGUUGAAACGGAAAGCACUGACUCAAGUUCUUUUCCUCAAAUGACCACAUUGAAAUUGGCUUCCUGCAAUUUAAGAAUGUUCCCUGGCUUCUUGAAAAAUCAAUCUAAGCUCAACUCUCUUGAUCUCUCCCAUAAUGAUCUUCAAGGAGAAAUACCUCUCUGGAUUUGGGGCCUUGAAAAUCUUAAUCAGUUAAAUCUUUCUUGCAACUCUCUUGUUGGUUUUGAAGGGCCUCCAAAGAAUCUUUCUUCCAGUCUCUAUCUUCUUGACCUUCAUUCCAACAAAUUUGAAGGGCCACUCUCAUUCUUUCCUUCAUCUGCUGCCUAUUUGGACUUCUCCAACAACAGUUUCAGUUCUGCCAUUAUACCUGCUAUUGGACAAUACCUCUCAUCCACUGUCUUCUUUUCUCUAUCAAGAAAUCGCAUUCAAGGCAAUAUUCCUGAAUCCAUAUGCGAUUCUAAGAGUCUUCAGGUACUGGAUUUGUCUAAUAAUGAUUUGAGUGGCAUGUUUCCCCAGUGUCUAACUGAGAAGAAUGAUAAUCUUGUGGUACUAAAUCUAAGAGAAAACGCCUUAAAUGGCUCUAUUCCUAAUGCAUUUCCAGCUAACUGCAGUCUGAGGACUCUUGAUCUAAGUGGAAACAACAUCGAAGGGCGGGUACCAAAGUCUUUAUCAAAUUGUCGAUAUUUGGAGGUUUUGGAUCUUGGAAAGAAUUCCAUAGAUGAUAUCUUCCCAUGCUCAUUGAAGAGCAUAUCCACUUUACGGGUGCUUGUUCUUCGCUCAAACAAAUUUCAUGGUAAAUUUGGAUGUCAAGAUACCAAUGGCACUUGGAAGAGCCUGCAAAUUGUUGACAUAUCUCGAAACUACUUUAAUGGUAGCAUAUCUGGAAAAUGCAUAGAAAAGUGGAAAGCAAUGGUGGAUGAGGAAGACUUUAGCAAGUCAAGAGCUAAUCACCUUCGUUUUAAUUUCUUCAAAUUCAGUGCUGUGAACUAUCAAGACACGGUAACUAUUACAAGCAAAGGUCUGGACGUUGAACUGACAAAAAUUCUAACAGUCUUCACUUCCAUUGACUUUUCAUGCAAUCUCUUCAAUGGCCAUAUACCUGCAGAAAUCGGAGAACUCAAGGCGCUUUAUCUUCUCAACUUUUCCCACAAUUAUCUGUCAGGUGAAAUUCCUUCAUCUAUUGGAAAUUUGAGUCAGCUGGGUUCUUUAGAUCUUUCAAGAAACAGGCUUACUGGCCAAAUCCCUCAACAGCUCGCGGGACUAUCGUUUCUCUCUGUAUUGAAUCUGUCCUACAAUCUGUUGGUUGGUAUGAUUCCCAUUGGCUCCCAAUUCCAAACAUUUUCUGAAGAUUCCUUUAUUGGUAAUGAAGGAUUAUGUGGAUACCCUUUGCCAAAUAAGUGUAAAACUGCCAUUCAUCCAACUUCAGAUACAAGUAACAAAAAAUCAGAUUCAGUAGCUGAUGCUGAUUGGCAAUUCGUAUUCAUUGGAGUUGGGUUUGGAGUAGGAGCAGCAGCAGUUGUUGCUCCUCUUACGUUUUUGGAAAUCGGUAAAAAAUGGUCCGACGAUACCGUCGACAAAAUUCUUCUGGCCAUUCUUCCAUUAAUGGGAUACAUCUACCUGACUUCCAGUGACCGCAAAGUCGAACUAGAAGAUGAUAUCAAAGAUGACGAUGACGAAGAAGACGAUUACAUGGCAGUUAUUUAUGAAAUUGAAGAAAGUGAAGAAAAAUCCUCAGAAUUUAAAGGGCAAUACUGUGUGUUUUGUUCAAAACUUGACAUCUAUAUGACGAAGGUUGUUCAUGAUACUCGAUGUACAUGUCUCUCUUCACUGCCCCCAUCUUCUUCUCUUUCUACAUUUCGAGAAAAAAAUUAAAGCUUGAAAAGGUAAUUUCCACUAUUUUUGCCAUUCUAUAAUUGGAAAAUAAGAGCAUAUCUUCUGCUGUACAUAAUUAGGUAUCAUCAACUUGAGAAUUGGGUUGUUGAAAUACUGUUAAAUUGUUAUUGUAUAUUCUAACGCUGUCUUCUUUCUUUUUCUACAUUUGUAAGGAAAUAUAUUAGGACAUAAAAAUGUUAUUUCCAUUCUUUUUGUCAUUCCAUGUAACAUUAUUACUUAUCAGACAACAGAAACUUCAAAACUGGGGUGUUUUUGAAAUUAAUGUGCUAUUAUAUCCUUCCUGUGAAUAUGUUAAAGUCUUCUGUAUGGAGAGAUUGGAUCAAGGUUGAAA